UACGUAGGGGGCGAGCGUUGUCCGGAUUCAUUGGGCGUAAAGCGCGCGCAGGCGGCCGCGUGAGCCCGGCGUGAAAGCCCCCAGCUCAACUGGGGGAGGUCGUCGGGGACCGCGUGGCUGGAGGCCGGCAGGGGAGAGUGGAAUUCCCGGUGUAGUGGUGGAAUGCGUAGAUAUCGGGAGGAACACCAGUGGCGAAGGCGACUCUCUGGGCCGGUCCUGACGCUCAGGCGCGAAAGCGUGGGGAGCGAUCCGGAUUAGAUACCCGGGUAGUCCACGCCGUAAACGAUGGGUGCUAGGUGUCGGGGGUAUCGACCCCCCCGGUGCCGUCGCUAACGCACUAAGCACCCCGCCUGGGGACUACGGCCGCAAGGCUAAA
This 376-nucleotide ribosomal RNA is filed under the name uncultured bacterium. Its description in RNAcentral is "bacterial SSU rRNA". It matches the Rfam family "Bacterial small subunit ribosomal RNA", at positions 524 to 898 of the family's 1533-position model. The record is from RNAcentral.